Molecule: ribosomal RNA, 305 nt
Filed under: uncultured bacterium
Lineage: Bacteria
Description: bacterial SSU rRNA
Rfam family: Bacterial small subunit ribosomal RNA
Source: RNAcentral
GAUUCCUACGGGACGCAGCAGUGGGGGAUAUUGCACAAUGGGGGGAACCCUGAUGCAGCGACGCCGCGUGGGUGAAGAAGCGCCUCGGCGCGUAAAGCCCUGUCAGCAGGGAAGAAAAUGACGGUACCUGAAGAAGAAGCCCCGGCUAACUACGUGCCAGCAGCCGCGGUAAUACGUAGGGGGCAAGCGUUAUCCGGAUUUAUUGGGUUUAAAGGGUGCGUAGGCGGGACGGUAAGUCAGCGGUAAAAAUGCGGAGCUCAACUCCGUCGAGCCGUUGAAACUGCCGUUCUUGAGUGAGCGAGAAG